Molecule: ribosomal RNA, 301 nt
Filed under: uncultured bacterium
Lineage: Bacteria
Description: partial 16S ribosomal RNA
Rfam family: Bacterial small subunit ribosomal RNA
Source: RNAcentral
CAGUAGCCGCGGUAAUACGUAGGGCGCAAGCGUUAUCCGGAAUUAUUGGGCGUAAAGAGCUCGUAGGCGGUUUGUCGCGUCUGCCGUGAAAGUCCGGGGCUCAACCCCGGAUCUGCGGUGGGUACGGGCAGACUAGAGUGAUGUAGGGGAGACUGGAAUUCCUGGUGUAGCGGUGAAAUGCGCAGAUAUCAGGAGGAACACCGAUGGCGAAGGCAGGUCUCUGGGCAUUAACUGACGCUGAGGAGCGAAAGCAUGGGGAGCGAACAGGAUUAGAUACCCCCGUAGUCCCUGUCUCUUAUAC